This is a small nuclear RNA of Rattus norvegicus (Norway rat), 107 nucleotides long. Lineage: Eukaryota; Metazoa; Chordata; Mammalia; Rodentia; Muridae. The record is from Ensembl.
GUGCUCUCUUUGACAGCACAUGUACUAACAUUGGAACGAUACAGAGAAGGUUAGCAUGGCCCCUGCGCAAGGAUGACACACAAAUUCAUGAAGCGUUCCAUAAAAAA